ACGCUCGACACCUACGGGGGCAGCAGUCGGGAAUAUUGCGCAAUGGAGGAAACUCUGACGCAGUGACGCCGCGUAUAGGAAGAAGGUUUUCGGAUUGUAAACUAUUGUCGUUAGGGAAGAAAAAAGACAGUACCUAAGGAGGAAGCUCCGGCUAACUACGUCNCNNNCGCGUAGUAUNGNGGCGNGNGAGAG
Molecule: ribosomal RNA, 192 nt
Filed under: uncultured bacterium
Lineage: Bacteria
Description: partial 16S ribosomal RNA
Rfam family: Bacterial small subunit ribosomal RNA
Source: RNAcentral